RNAcentral lists this non-coding RNA (98 nucleotides) under Octactis speculum. Lineage: Eukaryota; Dictyochophyceae; Dictyochales; Dictyochaceae. The record is from RNAcentral.
GGCAUCUCGUGGAAAUGAAGCGUUCGGACCGUUUGAGCGGAGGCUCGAAACAGAGCAGGGAACAUCAUCCCGCUCGACAGGGUGAAUGGAUUGCGAAC